Molecule: transfer RNA, 57 nt
Filed under: Loxodonta africana (African savanna elephant)
Lineage: Eukaryota; Metazoa; Chordata; Mammalia; Proboscidea; Elephantidae
Rfam family: tRNA
About the family: Transfer RNA (tRNA) molecules are approximately 80 nucleotides in length.
Source: Rfam by way of RNAcentral
GGCCGAGUGGUUAAAGUGCUUGGCUGCUAACCAAAAUGUUGGUGGUUCAAACCCACC